GGGUGAGCCAUCCACAGAAUGGGACGUUGAACCUGGAGACCCCAGUUCAAAGGCUUUCUACUAGCAGGUUAAUUAGUUGCCACAAGGCAACUUUCCUCAACCACAACCACAACAUCAACUAAGUAGUUUAGUAGUUUAGUCAGAUUUUUCCCCCGGACAGCAUCUUACAACAUCACAAGAGCUCCAACCACAGAUGGCCUUUUCCCAUUAUCGUGGUGGUAAGUGGACCUAACAGGGCUGAACAGAAGCAGCCACAGCGUUGAUGUGAAGCGCACCAUAGGACUCUUUAAGUAGUGUGUAACUGUUAGAGAAUGCCCCCUGGCCAAGGGAGGAGCAUCGCCGUCCGUCUGCCUCCCACGUGCACCGACUUAUACAAGUUUUGUGUAACUGUGAGGUAACACCUGCUCUUCUGACUGACGAAUCAGGCUCAACCGAAGGGCCUGUUCUCUGGCACAGCAUUCCCUCCCAGCCGACGACUGACUGAUUGUUGUGCUGUCUGUCCCACUUACAGUGCUGUCAAAAAUAAAUACCAACAACCGGGGCCUCAAAGGUAUCAUAGCGCUGAGCUUUCAUACGGUGCUUUAAAUACCUCCACAGAGAGACAUCAGGUGCAGACCUGAGAUCAGGUACAUGGCUGGACUGUAUCACGCUACGCAGUUGAGUUUGGUUUGAGUCCAUUCAUUGAGGACGGCUUCAAUCAAGAAUUCAACAAUAUUAUAAUGCUAUUUUAACAUGCGUCGUUCUAGAUUUCUCUUCUUCAAUCACAUGCAAACGCACAGAGGUCAUGCAGUGAGAAGAACAUUGAUUUCUGGGUCCCAGACUUAAAACUUUACUGUGCGUUUGCUACCAAACUUAACUGUUCAUUUCUUCACUCAUAGCCAAUCCUGUCUCUCUCAAACGCACCUAUUAUUUGCGUCAACACCCUCCAGGUAUUGGAUUGAAUCACAUAAAGAGGAAAACUGG
This is a long non-coding RNA of Gasterosteus aculeatus aculeatus (three-spined stickleback), 963 nucleotides long. The record is from Ensembl. Lineage: Eukaryota; Metazoa; Chordata; Actinopteri; Perciformes; Gasterosteidae.